This 660-nucleotide ribosomal RNA is filed under the name uncultured bacterium. Its description in RNAcentral is "bacterial SSU rRNA". It matches the Rfam family "Bacterial small subunit ribosomal RNA", at positions 94 to 788 of the family's 1533-position model. The record is from RNAcentral.
AGUGGCGGACGGGUGAGUAACGCGUGAGAAUCUGCCUUGGGGUCGGGGACAACCACUGGAGACGGUGGCUAAUACCGGAUAAGCCGAUUGGUGAAAGAUUUAUUGCCCGAAGAGGAGCUCGCGUCUGAUUAGCUAGUUGGUGAGGUAAGAGCUCACCAAGGCAGCGAUCAGUAGCUGGUCUGAGAGGACGAUCAGCCACACUGGGACUGAGACACGGCCCAGACUCCUACGGGAGGCAGCAGUGGGGAAUUUUCCGCAAUGGGCGAAAGCCUGACGGAGCAAGACCGCGUGAGGGAGGAAGGCUCUUGGGUUGUAAACCUCUUUUCUCAGGGAAGAAGAUCUGACGGUACCUGAGGAAUCAGCCUCGGCUAACUCCGUGCCAGCAGCCGCGGUAAUACGGAGGAGGCAAGCGUUAUCCGGAAUUAUUGGGCGUAAAGCGUCCGCAGGUGGCGAUUCAAGUCUGCUGUCAAAGCACGGGGCUUAACUCCGUAAAGGCAGUGGAAACUGAAUAGCUAGAGUGCCGUAGGGGUAGAGGGAAUUCCCGGUGUAGCCGUGAAAUGCGUAGAGAUCGGGAAGAACAUCGGUGGCGAAAGCGCUCUACUGGACGGCAACUGACACUCAGGGACGAAAGCUAGGGGAGCGAAUGGGAUUAGAUACCCC